ACUGGCAGCCAUAUCACCCUGUAGCCCAAGAGUGGUUACCCACUGAAGCCAAGCAGGGCUGAGACUGGUCUGGAUGGUCCUCCUGGGAAAACUAGGUUGCUGCUGGAA
Molecule: ribosomal RNA, 108 nt
Filed under: Sinocyclocheilus grahami
Lineage: Eukaryota; Metazoa; Chordata; Actinopteri; Cypriniformes; Cyprinidae
Source: RNAcentral